Molecule: ribosomal RNA, 270 nt
Filed under: Salmonella enterica subsp. enterica serovar Stanley
Lineage: Bacteria; Pseudomonadati; Pseudomonadota; Gammaproteobacteria; Enterobacterales; Enterobacteriaceae
Description: partial 16S ribosomal RNA
Rfam family: Bacterial small subunit ribosomal RNA
Source: RNAcentral
AAAUUGAAGAGUUUGAUCAUGGCUCAGAUUGAACGCUGGCGGCAGGCCUAACACAUGCAAGUCGAACGGUAACAGGAAGCAGCUUGCUGCUUCGCUGACAAGUGGCGGACGGGUGAGUAAUGUCUGGGAAACUGCCUGAUGGAGGGGGAUAACUACUGGAAACGGUGGCUAAUACCGCAUGACGUCGCAAGACCAAAGAGGGGGACCUUCGGGCCUCUUGCCAUCAGAUGUGCCCAGAUGGGAUUAGCUUGUUGGUGAGGUAACGGCUCA